UUUAAAUUCCACUGACACUGGAGACUCCUUCCACGCAUGUCAAAUACUUACAGAAGACUUGGAAGCGCCGUUACUAUAGAAACGAUAACGUAUCAGAACAUGUGCAUGAGUACAAUCCUGUGAUAGGAAGAUGAACUACUGACCAAUCAGAAUCAAGAAUUCGAAUGGGACUCAAACCUGCAGGCGGAGUUGUGCCAUGUCCCUCAUGAGCCUGUUCCUGCGCGCUUCCUCUUCAGCCUGCAGGAAACACAUCAUCAGAGUCAAACGACACGGCGACGACGUAACUUCCAAACCUCACGCCGUCACGAAAGUUGGACUUUUUAAACUUUUUCUUUCUUCCAUUUUGUCUUUUUUUGUACUUUCCUAAACUCUCCUCCUCCCCCAAUUUCUCAGAACGCCACAUCUCGGGUUUCUAAAGCCUUGUCAGCUUGACAGUGCUCCAGAACAGCACGGCGGCACUUUAAUCAGCGUUUGUUCUACGCUGUGAGGGCAGCGCGGUUGCCUAGCAACAUCAGACUCUCGAGAACACCUCGCUAAUAUGACAAGGCAGCGCGAAAGGGAACGUGCUCUGCUCUCCACAGGCCUGCGUACCCUAUCAUUUAUUCCGGCUUUAAUGAGGCGUGAAGGCCGACCUCUGGCGUGACGGUGAGAGCUUCUUCAUCUCUUGUUUCUUCACCUGAUGGUACAUCUUGGCCGCUUUAUCAAACAGACGCUUCAGGUUCCCGUAGGCUCCCUCGAAGGGCGUCUCGGACUGAAUGCUGGCAGACAGGAAAAGCAGAGCUGUAUAAAGUGGAUGCACUGCCCUCUAGAGGCUGGAUGGAAAAUUGUAUCCGAGCCACUUACCAGCGCAGAAUCAGUGGCGUGAAAGCAUGAUGCGUCUCACCAAUGGUUGGCGAGACGGACAGGGCCUGGUGGUAAAAUCGCUCAGCCAGCUGCUCGGCCUCCACACCUGCCAGCUCGUUCUGAUACCGCGCUGCACAUGACAAGAAGAAGAAAAGGCAGAUUUCACUUUCAUUUCCUCUUACACAAGUACAACUGCUUCAGGUCUGAGUCAGUACAAUCUAAUACAACGAGAUACAAGCUCCCCGACAUUCACGCCAAUUCUAAAUCCAAAAC
Molecule: long non-coding RNA, 1116 nt
Organism: Ictalurus furcatus (blue catfish)
Lineage: Eukaryota; Metazoa; Chordata; Actinopteri; Siluriformes; Ictaluridae
Exons: 4
Source: RefSeq, a predicted model, not a curated record